Molecule: non-coding RNA, 21 nt
Filed under: Caenorhabditis elegans
Lineage: Eukaryota; Metazoa; Nematoda; Chromadorea; Rhabditida; Rhabditidae
Source: RNAcentral
UAGAAUUAUCAUAUUUUGAAG